Acanthosepion pharaonis is the source of this 114-nucleotide non-coding RNA. Lineage: Eukaryota; Metazoa; Mollusca; Cephalopoda; Sepiida; Sepiidae. The record is from the annotation of a GenBank genome assembly.
UUAUGACCAUAUCAUGUUGAAACACCAGUUCUUAUAUAAUCACUAAAAUUAAGCAACAUGGAGCCUGGUCAGUACCAAGGUGGGUGGCCACUGGGGAAUCCCAAGUGCUGUAAG